Molecule: long non-coding RNA, 459 nt
Organism: Girardinichthys multiradiatus
Lineage: Eukaryota; Metazoa; Chordata; Actinopteri; Cyprinodontiformes; Goodeidae
Exons: 3
Source: RefSeq, a predicted model, not a curated record
GAAGAAAUGAAAGCAUUGUAUUAGGACAGUAUUAAACCUCUUCGGCAAAGAGAAGCCCUUUAUAGUCUAACUCAAGCAAUAAUUGCAGGUAACUUCAAGCAAGAGCAGCAGAGAUGAUGGCAACAAGCCGGCAUGACAAGAGAUGCCCACUAAUCACUAUCAUCAUCAGAAAUCCUCCAACGUCAAAGAGUCAUAACUCAACACGAUGACAUGAUGGUGUAACUAGAUUAUGUGUCACAAUAAAACAUAAUUACUUCAUCUUAAAUCAAAGGAUUACAUUUGCUUAAAAUGCAUAAACUGUCAGAAAAUAAUCUAAUUCUUAUCACUGGUAAACAGCAAGUAGGAGUUGACUACUCUUCGUGCCCAGCUGACAAAAAACAACAACAUAUAUGUUAAAAUGGCUGUAGCUAUGAACUUCAUGUUUAUUUUCUUUCUGAAAACCCGAGUACAUAGUCAUCA